RNAcentral lists this non-coding RNA (48 nucleotides) under Schistosoma mattheei. The record is from RNAcentral. Lineage: Eukaryota; Metazoa; Platyhelminthes; Trematoda; Strigeidida; Schistosomatidae.
AUCCAGCCGAAGAGUCCCGAAUAGGACGAAACGCGGGUCAAACUGGAU